GCAGCACACGUCCGCCGCCGGCCUCACGCGCAUCCUGCAGCUCCGCUCAAUGCGGGCUGCGAGUCCCUUUUGGCCGGGAAAAGGGCAUCCUCCAGCCAAUCAAUGCAAAACCGAGCACCUCCGUAUGGGGUGAUUCUCCUCAAGCGUGGCACCGGAGAGGAGACAGGCUUUCCCCGGGUGACGGCAGCCAUGCUCGGCUGGAGGAUGGCGGCAGCCCGGUGGCGAAAGGCAAGUCCGGACAUGGUGCCCAAGCGUCCCGAUGUGACGCCGCUCGGAGGCUCGGAUGUGUGUCCUACAUUUACAGCGCACUUGGUCAUGGUGCGCUCGGCCGAUCCUUGCAGCACGAAGCCCUCGUCACAAAGCAGGCGUACCGUGGCCCCCUGUAG
Hippocampus zosterae (dwarf seahorse) is the source of this 386-nucleotide long non-coding RNA. RefSeq lists it as uncharacterized. Lineage: Eukaryota; Metazoa; Chordata; Actinopteri; Syngnathiformes; Syngnathidae. The transcript is spliced from 3 exons. The record is from RefSeq and is a predicted model, not a curated record.